UACGUAGGGGGCAAGCGUUGUCCGGAAUCAUUGGGCGUAAAGCGCGCGUAGGCGGCCCGGUAAGUCCGCUCUGAAAGUCCAGGGCUCAACCCUGGAAAGCGGGUGGAUACUGCCGGGCUAGAAUCCGGAAGAGGCGAGUGGAAUUCCUGGUGUAGCGGUGGAAUGCGCAGAUAUCAGGAAGAACACCGGUGGCGAAGGCGGGUCUCUGGGCCGUAACUGACGCUGAGGAGCGAAAGCAUGGGGAGCGAACAGG
RNAcentral lists this ribosomal RNA (253 nucleotides) under uncultured bacterium. RNAcentral's name for it is "partial 16S ribosomal RNA". It matches the Rfam family "Bacterial small subunit ribosomal RNA", at positions 524 to 776 of the family's 1533-position model. The record is from RNAcentral.